Molecule: ribosomal RNA, 429 nt
Filed under: Chloroflexota bacterium
Lineage: Bacteria; Bacillati; Chloroflexota
Description: Chloroflexi bacterium partial 16S ribosomal RNA
Rfam family: Bacterial small subunit ribosomal RNA
Source: RNAcentral
UGGGGAAUAUUGCACAAUGGGCGCAAGCCUGAUGCAGCCAUGCCGCGUGUAUGAAGAAGGCCUUCGGGUUGUAAAGUACUUUCAGUCGGGAGGAAGGUGUCAAGGUUAAUAACCUUGGCAAUUGACGUUACCGACAGAAGAAGCACCGGCUAACUCCGUGCCAGCAGCCGCGGUAAUACGGAGGGUGCAAGCGUUAAUCGGAAUUACUGGGCGUAAAGCGCACGCAGGCGGUUGAUUGAGUCAGAUGUGAAAUCCCCGGGCUUAACCCGGGAAUUUGAUCUGAUACUGGUCAGCUAGAGUCUUGUAGAGGGGGGUAAGAUUCCAUGUGGAGCGGUGAAAUGCGGAGGGAUGUGGAGGAAUACCGGUGGCGAAGGCGGCCCCCUGGACAAAGACUGACGCUCAGGUGCGAAAGGGUGGGGAGCAAACAGG